This is a long non-coding RNA of Gymnodraco acuticeps, 318 nucleotides long. RefSeq lists it as uncharacterized. The record is from RefSeq and is a predicted model, not a curated record. The transcript has 2 exons. NCBI's taxonomy places the organism in Eukaryota, Metazoa, Chordata, Actinopteri, Perciformes, Bathydraconidae.
GGAGAAUAGCUGGCUUCAGGUAAAGUUUCACAAUUCUCUAUCAUACUUACGUGUAGUCACGUUUUGUUUUGUAUAGCGGAGGGUCUUCCUGGCGAUGCCCGUCAAGUAGCCGUAACAUAGAGAGCAUGAAACUCUCUCCUCUCUGCCUGAUCGGGCCAAGCUAAGGCUUUAAAGAACCGCUGCUGUUUUGCUGCACCGAAAAGAGACGGGUUUCUGGCGCAGGGUCAUCACCCGUACUGCUGAUCCUGUGUGACUGUUUUUAUAAAUUGUAUUUUUACUAUUGUAUACAAAUAAACUGUUCUAUUUUUGAUAAUUGGA